GAGAAGAGAGAAGGAGCGAGAGAGAAACGGGGACAAGGUUCUGGGAAGAGAGAAGGAACAAGAGAGAAGCACAAGCAGGGAGAGUGAUAUGAGAAGAGAGAAGGAACGAGAGAGGAGAAGGGAUCUGGAAGGAGAGAGCAGCAGGGACAGGGAUCAGAGAAGAGAGAGAGAUCGAGAGAGGAGCAGGGACAUGGAUCUGAGAAGAGAGAA
This 210-nucleotide unclassified non-coding RNA is filed under the name Hevea brasiliensis (rubber tree). Lineage: Eukaryota; Viridiplantae; Streptophyta; Magnoliopsida; Malpighiales; Euphorbiaceae. The record is from RNAcentral.